Etheostoma spectabile (orangethroat darter) is the source of this 345-nucleotide long non-coding RNA. RefSeq lists it as uncharacterized. Lineage: Eukaryota; Metazoa; Chordata; Actinopteri; Perciformes; Percidae. The record is from RefSeq and is a predicted model, not a curated record. The transcript has 4 exons.
GCAUUGCCAGAUCUUCCUCCACAGCGCUGCGGGGGAGGGUCUAUCUAGUCCAUACAUCAUUCCGUGAUGGGAGAAAAACAUGCUCUGGUUUAUUGGCAUUUCUUUAAACCAAUCACAAUCGUCAUGGGCGGUGCUAAGCGCCGGAUGGAGCAACGGUGUCUCUGCAAAACAGCCUGAGGAAGGAACUUGUUUUGGUGGAACAUGUUUACGUUCAAUGGUUGUUUUAGUCGUGCAACAGACAACUCAGAUUGGACAGAUAGUCUAGCUAGCUGUCUGGAUUUACCCUGCAGAGAUCUGAGGAGCAGUUUACCAUAGUCUUCAGAUUGUACAGAUAGUCUAGCUAGC